Molecule: long non-coding RNA, 6324 nt
Filed under: Populus trichocarpa (black cottonwood)
Lineage: Eukaryota; Viridiplantae; Streptophyta; Magnoliopsida; Malpighiales; Salicaceae
Description: long non-coding RNA (PTRI_LNC001719)
Source: RNAcentral
ACAAUUGCUAGCGCUAGCUGUUCUUGCAAGCUGAUCAAACUUGAAAUAAUAUGGGAAACUACACUUCUUGCUGUGCUGUUGUUACCCUCUCAAGUAAACCUAAGACUGCAAAACUUAUAAAUUCUCAGGGAAACUUAAGGCAAGUAAGUCUCCCGGUAAAAGCUGCAGAGCUCAUGCUUGAAGAACCUGGCCAUGUCAUCGCUCCAGUAGAUGAGCUGAAGCAAAGGAGUCGUACAAUAGCCAUGCGAGCUGACGAUGAGCUUCUGCCUGGAAAGGUAUACCUGUCAGUUCCUUUAAGUAAGGCAAACUGUAAAAUUUCUGCGUCGGAGUUGGCAAUCAUUGAGUCUACCAUAGCUGCUUGUGCGAAAAGGUCGAGCAAGAAGAGAAGUGGUGCUAAGGUUUUGCCUGCUAUGGCCGUGGACUUGUGGGAGGAGAAGGGAUCAGAGAGUGGGGUUAAGGUCUUGGAAGGAAAUGAUACGAGCUCUACCAGUUACCGGUUAGUGAAUUAUAGGCAGUGGACUCUGGCGUUGGAGCCGAUACCGGAGGAGUUUUGACCACAGAUGAACCUUUUUUCUUUCUAGCUAAGGUUUAGAGUUUUUUUAGAGAAAAAUCGAUACAUUGUUGUACACUUGAGAUGCAAAGGUAGGGGGUUAUUCAGUUAGGAAAUUAAGAAAUAUAUAUGUUCAUAUGGUUUUCUAAGAAAAAUUGAUAAAUUGUACACAAGACUUGCACAAAUAUUAGCGGCCUUCGUUGAUGAACUUGAGACAGAAAAAAAUCAUCAUUGCAAAUUCUUAGCAGUUGCUCAACAACUGCAUUCAAUUCAUUGCAGCUUUUCAAUGAUCCCAGUUGAGUACUGUUAGAACACAGACCUGAUGAAGAUUUCAAUCUUGUCCUUUCCUUUCCUAUAAACUUCUUUAAUUUGGCUUCCUCGUAUCAUAAACACGUCGGUAGUGAAGGUGUGAGUUGAACUUUAAGCGCGUGAGGGAAGGCUAAUUUGAUGGCUUAAAAACUCUCUAAUUUGUCCGUUCUGCCCUAUGCAGGUAAAAAACUGCCACAGGUAGGGGCGAACCCAUAAUCAUGUUUAAGAAUUUAUUUGAAUGUUUCAUCUUGAAUUUUACAACACAUGUUAACCUUGUCUAUUUAAGAACUCACGAGUUGUACUGAUUAGACUUAAAUAAAUUUAAAUCUUAAGAUGGAAUGAUUAUUUUUAUUAUUACUUAUAAUAAAAAUUAGAUUUUUGAUAUGAUAUUAUUAAUUUUCAAGUUAGGCUCGUCUAAUAGUAAUAUUUUUUUUUCAUAAAAUACAUUCCAUGAACUAUAUUAUUUUCCAAUUAUGUUGUAUUAAGUGUCUAUUAAAAAAAUAUAUGAUUGUUAUCUUGUAGCCGUAUAUGUCAUUAAGAACGUUUUAUUAUUUGCAAUAUAUCACCAUUUAGACUUAGAAUAUUGAAAAGUUUGCCAUCUGUCAUACGAUAAUAAGCAUGGGAAAGAAAAUAAAUAGUAAAAAAAGAGCGGUUGUUAAUAAUAAUAAUAAAAAAGUACAAAUAAUUACAAAAUUGUAGACGAAUAUACACAGGCUCUACGAGAUUAAUCAAAUUAAGGGUUUGAAUUUUGGGUGAGUAAUUCAAAAUGAAAUGAAUGCAUUUAUUAAUAUACAUUUUAUGCAGAGGUUUCAGGGGCGUAAAUAAAACGUGUGCUGGGGCCAUAUCCUCUCCAAAAUCUUUCCCAUUUCUAUAUAUUAUUUUUAUUUCCAUAAAUAUAAUUAUCAAAUUUCUAUAAAUUUCUUCGUUAAAACUUGAUUUAGUGAGCCACAUGUCACAAUUCUGAGAAGCCUCUGCCUGAAUAGUUAUCUAUGUGGAUCCAGGAUUACACCCACUGUAAAACACAUCAGAUUUAUACAAGGUCGAUGAUAGUACAAGGACCUGAUUGCGUUUCUUAGAAUAAAUAGGCCCAAUGUGCCAAAACUGAAAUUGUUGAGGGAUGGAAGAUGCCAUUACACCGAAUCUUAACGCACCUUAUCAGACCCGCUCACCUUUGUUUUACAUGUCAAAGCGUGAAGUGCACCUCUUCCCAUGUGGAAAAUUUCUCCAAUUUCAUAUGCUGCCACGUCGUCUUGUAAGUUUCUUGGAUUGAAAAUGUUGUCAGCCAACCUGGCAGAGUUGACUGAGCCAGGGUCUCGAAGCAUUGGAUAGCACCAACAACUACAUCUAAAUGGAUAUGGAUGAGAGACGAAGACGACAGUGGGUGUAAGGGCCAGAUGGUAUUAUGGGUUAAUUACAACAUUACAUUACAUUACAACAUAUUCUAAAUGGGGUUGGGAAUCACUGUUUCCCAACACAAAACAUGGCAGAUUACUGCAGUGUUUUCUUUUCUUUUUUUUUUUGGCUAACUUUUGUCUUCUUUUUUUUUUCGUUUUUUUUUGGUUUUUUUUUUGAAAAUUACUUUUUUUUUUCAACUUUCCUAUUUUUUCUUUUUUUCAUUUAUUUUUUCUUUUGUUUUUUCCAAAAUUAUUUUUUUUAUUUUACUUUUUAAAUAUUGACCUGGUUAAAAUUUCUGCUUUGUAAUUUUUUUCUUUAAAAUACUGUGGAUUGCUACAAUGUUUUUCCAUAUAAUUUUUCUAUUUUAUUUCUUUAUUUUUCAAAAUUAUAUUUGUUGAUUUUUUUUAAUAUGGAGCUGAUUGAGAAUUUAGUUUUGUAAUUUUUUUUCUUUUAAACAUCGUCGAUUGCUACAGUGUUUCUCCGCAUGGUUUUUUUUUAUAAUUUUCUCCGAAAUUUUUUUUUUAUUUUAUUUUUUAAUAUUGAGCUGGUUAAAAAUUACAGUUACAAUAUGUGAGGAAAACACUAUAACUUUCCUCGAAAAUUACUGUUGAUUGCUACAGUGUUUUUUCCCACAUGGUUUUUUUCUGUUUUUGUUAUGUUUUUUCCUAAAAUUAUCUUUGUCAAUUUUAUUUUUUUAAUAUUAAGCUGGUUAAGAAUUGCAAUUACAAGUAAAUACAAGUUUUUCCUUACAAAACACUAUGGAUUGAUACAGUUUUUUCUCACAUGGUUUUUUUUCAUUUUCUUUUUUUGUAAUAUUUUUUUCCAAAAUUAUCUUCGUCGAUUUUAUUUUUUUUAAUAUUGAGUUGGUUAAAAUUUAACUUUGUAAUAAAGCUUAAUCAUGUGAGGAAAGCAUUGUAGCUUUGCUCAUAGAACAUUGUGGAUUGCUACAGUGUCCUCUCCGUAUAGUUUUUUUUUGUUAUAAUUUUUUUCAAAUUAUCUUUUUCAAUUUUAUUUUUUUAAUAUUGAGUUGUUUGUGAAUUACAAUUACAAGUCAUUACAAAUAAGACUAAAUCAUGUGGGGAAGCACUGUAACUUUCAUCACAAAACACUGUGAAUUGCUACAGUGUUUCCAACAUGAUUUUUUUUCUUUUGUUGGUGUUUGUUUUGUUAUUUUUUUUUUCUAAAAUUGUCUCUGUUGUUUUUUUUUUAAUAUUGAGCUGAUUAAGAAUUUAGCUUUGUAAUUUUUUUUUAUAUUUAAAACACUGUGAAUUGUUGCAGUGUUUUUCCAUGUGAUUUUUUUAUGAUUUUUUUCCAAAAUUAUCUUUGUCGAUUGUUUUUUAAAUAUUGAGUUGGUUAAGAAUUAUAAUUACAAUAAAGUUAAAUCAUAUGAGGAAAGCGUUGUAGUUUUUCUCACAAAACACUGUGGAUUGCUACAAUAUUUCUCUAAAUGGUUUUUUAUUUUAUUUUAUUGGGAAAAAUGCUAUAGUUUUCCUCACAAAACAUUGUCAAUUGCUGCAACUUUUUUCUCAUGGGUUUUUUUCCUUCCAAAAUUAUCUUUAUUGGUUUUUUUUUUAAUAUUAAGUUGGUAGAGAAUUUAACUUUGUAAUUUGUUUUCCUUUUUAUUAACUGAAAAGCUAAAUCAUGUGGCGAAAACACUAUAUUUUUCCUCACAAAACACUGUAGAUUGCUACAAAUCAUUUUGUUCAGUCUUUAAGUUUUUGAUCACCAACACAACGUUUUUUUCCGUCAUGAAAUAUUUGCUCCAUCAUACCUUUAAUUUCUAUUACUUAUCUAGCAUUGGUUCAUAAUUAUAACACUAUCAAGUACAUUUAUUUUAUAAGCCCGCGGCAACGCGCGGGCAUGUCAUCUCGUAUGAGCUAAGAGUUAUCCACGUGACUUUUGUUUUGUCAAACUGGCUUGGUGCUACAAUCUAUCACUAAAGAAAUAGCUAUGCCAUUUCAGUCCUUUUAUUUUUAUGUUUUAAAAAUAUAUUUAAAUUUUUUUUUCAUGUUUAAAAAGAUUUUAACUUGACUCAUAGUAGAGUAUAGACGACUAUCUGGUAAAAAAAAACACUAAAAUUAUAGGCAUUUUCACCGUACACACAAAAAAUUCAUUGUUUUUUCCCUUUCUAUGAAAAAUCAAAUGCGAGUAUAUCUUUUUGCAUGACACAUUAGUUCUUAAAGGUUUGAUCGAUAAUAUAUAUAUCUUUUUAGUUUUUUAAGUAUAGUUAAAUGAUUACUCUUUAAGUUAAAAAAUUUAAAAUCAGCAAAGAGAGGUAUUUUUAUCUUUUUAUUUUUAAAUACAGUAAAAUAACAAAUUUACUCUUGAAAUAAAAAAAUAAACUAUGUAUCCAAGGGCCUUUAGGUCUUUUUAGUAGGUUUUUUUUUGUUAUUAACAAAUUCAUAAGAAGCAAUUUGAUCCUUUACUAAAGGUGAAUUAUUAUUGAAAUGGAAAAAGCAUCUGACGUGUGCAAGGGAGGUGCCUGUGCACUUUAGGUAGUGCAUGCAGUGUCUUCUAGUGGCCAAAAAUGCUUUUCCUUCAUGUUGUUGGAAGCACCACUGCAUUAUUUUUCUGUUAAUAUGACAUGUGUUAGCGGUGGUUGAACGAGUUAUCAUUAUCGGAUCUUAUUCUUUUUUAUUUCUAAUUCUUUUAAUUUUUUUUAAAUUUUUUUAUUAGUUUUCAAUUUCAUCCUCCAAUCUAUGAUAUAUUAUUCUUUUCUAAUUUGAUUUUCAUUCUUUUGAUUUUAUUAUCCUUUUAUUAAAGUUAUUUUUCUUUUCAAUUUCACCCUCCACUAAAAAGAAUUUAUGGUUGCCCUCUAAUUUUUUUUUAUUUUGAUUUUAAUUUUCAUUCUUUUAAUUUCUUUUAAUUUUGAAUCAUUUUUUGUAGUUGCUUUUUUUUUAUUUUUUUCUUUAAUAUUUGACUUGUUAGGGAUUCGGUUUUAUAGGUUUUUUAUGUACGAUAUUUCUAGUCUUAUAACUUAAGUUAUGGGUUAAACUUUUUUUGAAAAAAUUCAUUAUUUAAUGGACAUAACCCCAUCAAAUAUAAUCUCAAAUGGACCAAAAUCACACGAAGACAAUUUCAACUUUUUAAUCUCAAACACUUGAAAUUCAAAGAAGCUUGAAUCCAUUUAUUACUCUUUCAAUUUCAAUUUCUAGUCCUUUGUUUUUUUUAUCUAAUUAAAAAAAUAGCUUAUUUAACCACUCAGGGCUAUAAAUCAAGCCGCAGUGUUUUUAUAUAUUUUUUUAAAUAUAUUUGCAAUACCUUAAAUAUCAUUUUUUUUUUAAAAAAAGUUAAAGCUAACCAGCGGCGUAGAUUAGUGUGCAAAGCAAAGUCAGUAUUUAUAGUUAACGUUCAAGUUUCAAGCUCAUUUUUCAAUAAUUUAUGUGGUAAUUGCAAGGAGGACUUUUCUUCUUCUCUUUGGUAAUAAUUCUAGUGGUGCCAUGUGGCUUCUUCGCACAAGGCCGAAACAAAAACAAAGGACAAAAAUCAGCACCAUUUUCACGCCUAAAUAAUGACCAAAAUAGAAAAAUAAAUGCGUGUUUUUGUUCCAACUCCCAGCUGGGCAGCCUCUUUCUCUCUGUUCCCCACAACUCCCGAGCUCCCGAGUCCCGUCAACACAUAAUACUCUUCUUUUACACUCUUUUGACCGUCCACUCUUUUACUUGACUCCUCCUCUUCUUCUUCACUCUCUUUCUCUCUCUAUAUAUAUAGGCUCCUUCCCCCCUAUCCAAUGACCUAAGAAAUUAACCAGAAAGAAACACCAUCACAAUUGCUAGCGCUAGCUGUUCUUGCAAGCUGAUCAAACUUGAAAUAAUAUGGGAAACUACACUUCUUGCUGUGCUGUUGUUACCCUCUCAAGAAAACCUAAGACUGCAAAACUUAUAAAUUCUCAGGGAAACUUAAGGCAGGUAAGUCUCCCGGUAAAAGCUGCAGAGCUCAUGCUUGAAGAACCUGGCCAUGUCAUCGCUCCAGUAGAUGAGCUGAAGCAAAGGAGUCGUACAAUAGCCAUGCGAGCUGACGAUGAGCUUCUGCCUGGAAAGGUAUACCUGUCAGUUCCUUUAAGUAAGGCA